UCAGGGGCGUUGCCUCAGUUGAUGCCAGGGUCUGUGUGGGUCCAAGCACUGACUGCAGAGCCGGAUGCCAAGUCCCACAGAGUGUGGGAGCAUGGGGGGGGGGGGGAGAGACUGAUCCUAUCUCAGUAUGUGACGGAGAGGGGAAUUCCCCAUCGCUCAACAACCGGUGGCUGGGCCUGUGAUGCCCACUUUGCUCCCCUGGUGGUUCCUGGUUUUGGGGACACAUGGGCACCAGGCUGAGCCCCCACAAACUCAUCUCACCCAGAGCCCUGAGCCGGGAUCACCUUUCUGUGAUGGCCACAUCACACCCCCACCGCCGUUUGGUCCCUAACCCCCCCCCUUGCUGUCCCUGCUAUGACCCCCCUAUGCCAGCCCUGUCCCCCAUGCCAUCUCUGCCAUGCCCCCACCUGAUGCCAGCCCUGCCACACACCCAACCCCAUGCCAUCCCUGUCCCCCCAUGCCAGCCCUGCAGUGCCUCUGCUGUGCUUCGGUCUUUAAUUAUAGGGUUGUGGGGUGUUUCCCAGAAGGGCUCUGGCCUUGUGUCCAGCCUCUUCCAGUGCCAUGGGCGCUGAUGGCAGGACAGUAGGGGGAGGGUCAUGAGACCCAUGACCCCACCCUAAGCAGGGGCCCACAGGUGCUCCCAGGGCUGGGGAGUGUUACCUGUCAGCUCUGUGCUCUUGGGGAACCAGGGUGCAGUACCCAGCCUUCCCCCCACCCCCGAGCCUCUGCUUGAACGAAAACUGAUCAGAAGACAAAUGUACAAAGGUGGGGGGAGGGAUAGCUCAGUGGUUUGAGCGUUGGCCUGCUAAACCCAGGAUUGUGAGUUCAGUCCUUGAGGGGACCAUUCAAGGAACUGGGGCAAAAAAAUCUGUCUGGGGAUUGGUCCUGCUUUGAGCAGGGGGUUUGGACUAGAUGACCUCUUGAGCUCUCUUCCAACUCUGAUAAUCUAUGGUGAACCCAGCUCAGCAGUUCUCAGACCAAUUCUAUCUAUGAAUCCUUUAUUGGUAUCCAAAAUAUGGAAGCUGCUAAUUGCAUUGUGAGCUCCCUGGAAGGAACACCGCCCAUAGCCAGGAAUGAUCAGCUCCCAUUGUCUAGCCUGGACAAAACAACUCUGGUAUCCUCCCUGGAGCCAUCAGUUUACACAAACAAAUCUAGUGUUCUCCCUUGAACCACUGUCCUUUCUCAACACAACCCCCUACCCAAGCUUCACAGAGUGGUGAGAACCCAGCUCUCUCAGUGUAGCCUUCUGACCCUGACUUGUGUGAUCAGUGAUCAUUUUCUAAACCUGACCUUUAUAAUCAAACUUAAGUUAGAUUUAAUAUUAUCACUGUUUUGUUUGUUUGGCUCCCCACUGGUUAUUACUUGGCAAUAAAUAAUUUUCAUGAUUAA
Gopherus flavomarginatus (Mexican gopher tortoise) is the source of this 1389-nucleotide long non-coding RNA. RefSeq lists it as uncharacterized. The transcript has 2 exons. The record is from RefSeq and is a predicted model, not a curated record. NCBI's taxonomy places the organism in Eukaryota, Metazoa, Chordata, Testudines, Testudinidae.